GGUGGUCCUAGUGUUGCCACGGUUACCACAGCAAUGCUCAGAUCUUGUGAGAGUGAACUCACACUGCAGGCUAGAGUUCUCUCUCACAAGAUCUGAGUGUUGCUGUGGUAACCGUGG
Pelobates cultripes (western spadefoot toad) is the source of this 117-nucleotide non-coding RNA. Lineage: Eukaryota; Metazoa; Chordata; Amphibia; Anura; Pelobatidae. The record is from the annotation of a GenBank genome assembly.